GAACGCUAGCGGGAUGCUUUACACAUGCAAGUCGAACGGCAGCGCGGACUUCGGUCUGGCGGCGAGUGGCGACCGGGUGAGUAAUGUAUCGGAACGUGCCCAGUAGCGGGGGAUAACUACGCGAAAGCGUAGCUAAUACCGCAUACGCCCUACGGGGGAAAGCAGGGGAUCGUAAGACCUUGCACUAUUGGAGCGGCCGAUAUCGGAUUAGCUAGUUGGUGAGGUAACGGCUCACCAAGGCGACGAUCCGUAGCUGGUUUGAGAGGACGACCAGCCACACUGGGACUGAGACACGGCCCAGACUCCUACGGGAGGCAGCAGUGGGGAAUUUUGGACAAUGGGGGCAACCCUGAUCCAGCCAUCCCGCGUGUGCGAUGAAGGCCUUCGGGUUGUAAAGCACUUUUGGCAGGAAAGAAACGUCGCGGGCUAAUACCCCGUGGAACUGACGGUACCUGCAGAAUAAGCACCGGCUAACUACGUG
This 481-nucleotide ribosomal RNA is filed under the name uncultured bacterium. RNAcentral describes it as "partial 16S ribosomal RNA". It matches the Rfam family "Bacterial small subunit ribosomal RNA", at positions 31 to 507 of the family's 1533-position model. The record is from RNAcentral.